UUUUUAUAGAAUUUAAUUUUGGUUCCGAUUGAACGUUUUUCAGUAGUUUAAGACAUGCAAAUCUUUUUUUCUCUUGCUAAAAUAUUAGAGAAAAAGGUGUAAAGGUGAGUAUAAUAAAUAAGAUACCCUAAAGUCUUCAUAAAUCGGAGAUAUUUCUUAAACUUCCUAUUAAUUACUCAAAAGGCAAAUAAUAGAGUGUUAAGAAAAGUAAAAAAUAAGCUAUUUUUAUUAAGAAAGGAAAUUUUCUGCUUUAGGAUUCUAUUUAUUUGGAUUAGGUUGUUGGUAGGGUAAAGGCCUACCAAGCCGACAAUCUGAAGCUAAGCUUGAAAGAGCCGAUGGCCACAUUGGGGUUGAAAUCUCCCAAGUAGUAUUUACUACCAGCAGUCUAGAGUAUUAGUCAAUGCUCGGAAGAGUGAACUAGCUAACUGAAAUCUUUAUUAAGAUAAGGUAAAGGAAAAUAAUGAUACUACUUUACUAUUAGUGUCGUCCAAUGCUGGUGCCAGAAGACUCGGUAACGCCAGAGACGCAAACGUUAGUCAUCUUAAACAGGCGUAAAGGGUUUGUAGGCAGCUUCCAAUAUUUUUAGUUUAGUAUAGCUCGUGAGAAUUUUAAUCCAUAUGAAUUCAAAAUAAAGUGAAGAUAGAAUCAAAUGGAGGUUAAAGUAUAUAAUACUUAGAGUAGUGUUUUAAUACGUAAAUACUAAGUAGAAUACUAAUGGCGAAGGCAGUUAACCACUAAUGAUUGACGCUGAGGAACGAAGGUGAGGAUAGGAAAUAGGAUUAGAGACCCAUGAACCCCUCACAGUAAACGAUGAAUGGUAGUUAUCAGUUUAGUUACUGGUUUCGAGGUUAACGCGUUGACCAUUCCGCCUUGUGAGUACGAUUGCAAAAUUGAAAACAAAAAAAUUAGUCGGUCUCGGAGCAAACGAAGUGAAGCAUGUUGUUUAAUACGAUAAUCCGCGUAAAAUCUUACCAGUCCUUGUAUAAAAAUUAUAAAUUUUAAUACAUUAGAAAUUAUAAGGAGUGUUUUUAUUUAAAAUGCUUCAAUACAGGUGUUGCAUGGCUGUCGUCAGUCCGUAUCGUAAGAAGUUAGGUUAACUCCACAAACGGACGAAAUCCCUGUUGUUAAUUUAUACUUAACAAAUAAGUGGGUCUGAUAGAGAUUCAUUUUGGGGCUAAGACAAGUCGUUAUGGUCCUCAUGGACUGGGCUAUAGACGUGCCACAAAAACUUUUACAAAGUGACGCAAGACCCUCUCAUAUUUAAUCUUAAGGCACAAAUUAGAUUAAUAGUUUACUUUUUUAGAAAACUGGGAAAUAAGGAGGAGCUAAUCAUUAAAGAAAGUUAAUUUACUAAAAUAUGCCGGAUUGUCACCUGAAAUUCGGUGGCAUGAAGCAGGAAUUUCGAGUAAUCGUUGAUCAUUACGCAACGGUGAAGUUUAAAAUUCGUGAUGAACUAACUGUCUGUCGCUGGGGAGGAGCUUAUAUUGAUGGAAACUGCGGUAUGGCUAAUAUUUUACAUAGGUUAUAGUUUUAAGCUAAUUUAUAGGCAAUUAUCUAUCCUUUUUUAGGGUUACUUUACUCUUAAGGUAAAACACUUAUGUUAAAUUAUCUGGCUUCAGUUAAGUCAGUUGAGUAACAUCUCAAAAGUCAUAGCAAGGUAGCUGUGCUGGAAGGUGUAGCUGGAUAAUAAAAUUU
RNAcentral lists this ribosomal RNA (1695 nucleotides) under Phanerochaete carnosa. Its description in RNAcentral is "SSU rRNA". It matches the Rfam family "Bacterial small subunit ribosomal RNA". Lineage: Eukaryota; Fungi; Basidiomycota; Agaricomycetes; Polyporales; Phanerochaetaceae. The record is from RNAcentral.